UACAGAGGUCUCAAGCGUUAUCCGGAUUUAUUGGGUUUAAAGGGUGCGUAGGCGGGCUAUUAAGUCAGUGGUGAAAGCCCCAAGCUUAACUUGGGAACUGCCAUUGAUACUGAUGGUCUUGAGUACAUUUGAGGUGGGCGGAAUGUGUCAUGUAGCGGUGAAAUGCUUAGAUAUGACACAGAACACCGAUUGCGAAGGCAGCUCACUAAACUGUAACUGACGCUGAGGCACGAAAGCGUGGGGAGCAAACAGG
Molecule: ribosomal RNA, 253 nt
Filed under: uncultured bacterium
Lineage: Bacteria
Description: partial 16S ribosomal RNA
Rfam family: Bacterial small subunit ribosomal RNA
Source: RNAcentral